RNAcentral lists this long non-coding RNA (2703 nucleotides) under Homo sapiens (human). RNAcentral's name for it is "HSALNT0233547". Lineage: Eukaryota; Metazoa; Chordata; Mammalia; Primates; Hominidae. The record is from RNAcentral.
GGGGCAGACACUGGUGCGGGACGACCUGCUCCCGAGGGGGUCCGCAGGCCACACCCAGAGAAACUGGGGCGCCUCCAGUCACCGCCGCGGUCCGCCCCGCCCGAGGCUUUGACCCCCUGAAUCAGCGUCGGGGCAGGGAUCCGCGUGGGGUGGAAGAGGCUGGGAAACUGGGGAGUCCCGGGCCUCCUCUGGAGCCGCCCGCCCUUGGCUGGCUGGUCCUUCUCUUCCUCGGCUCCCGCCGGGCUGGGCCCUGGGCCGCCCUCACUCCCUCCCCUCUGCAGCCUCCCUUGCGUUUGUCAUUCACUCUGCCAGGCUCUCCUUCUGCCUCCGCAUGCCCAACGAUCCGGAGAAAAACACGGACCAUGACAUCAAAAGGCCUUGGCCAAGGAAUCGUGAUUAUUGUGAUACAAGAUUCUGCACCUCAAAGGGGAUCCCUGUAGUGGUGGAGGCAUUCUAAGUCACAGGAUGAGAUGAGAGGCCGGCACAAGCAGUAAAGAAGCCGCGGCCAAAACCCACCAAAACCAAGAUGGUGAUGCGAAUGACCUCUGGUCGUCCUCACUGCUACACUCCCACCAGCGCCAAGACAGCUUACAAAUGCCAUGGCAACGCCAGAAUGUUACCCUAUAUGGUCUAAAAAGGGGAGGCAUGAAUAAUCCACCCCUUCUUUAGCAUAUAAUCAAUAAAUAACCAUAAAAAUGAGCAACCAGCAGCCCUCGGGGCUGCUCUAUGGAGUAGCCAUUGUUUUAUUUCUUUACUUUUUUUUUUUUUUUGAGAGGGAGUCUUGCUCUUGCUCAGGCUGGAGUGCAGUGGCGUGAUCUCGGCUCACUGCAAUCUCCGUCUCCUGGGUUCAAGCGAUUCUCCUGCCUCAGCUUUCGAGUGGCUGGGACUACAGGUGCCCCCACCAUGCCGGCUUUUUUUUUUUUUGUACUUUUAAUAGAGACGGGGUUUCACCACGAUGGCCAGGGUGGUCUCGAACUCCUGUCCUCAGAUGAUCUGCCUGCCUUGGCCUCCCAAAGUGCUGGGAUUAUAUGCGUGAGCCACCGCGCCCAGCCCUAUUCCUUUACUUUUUUUUUUUGAGGUGGAGUCUCACACCUGGCCUCCAAUAUGUUUAUUCAUAUUGCUGAGGCAGGGGAUUGCUUGAGCCCAAGAGUUUGAGGUUGCAGUGAACCAUGAUCAUAAGCUGUAUUUCAGCGUGAGUGAGAGAUUGAGACCUUGUCUCACAAAAUAAAAGUUAAAAAGCCCUUAUCUGGAGGUGAGAAAGCCAAAUACAAAGGUCUUCUCAGUUGGUUCCCAGUCUUCCCAGUCCAGCAGCCUCAGCAUCACCAGGGAGCUGGUUAGGCAAAUUCUCGGCGGCCCCAACCUACUGAAUUGGAGACCCUGAAGAUGGGGCUAUCUGAAUUUUAACAAGGCCUCCAGGUUUGCAUGCUCAAGAUUGAGAACCACUGGCAAAAGCAAACAAUUUGAAUCUGAAGUCAGCCCACCUGCAUUUGAAUACAGGCCCUGCCACUUAAUAACUGUGAUUUAGAGCAAGUUAGUUACUUAACAGCUAGGUUGACCAAUUGUCCGAGUUUGCCUGGCACUAUCCUGAUUUCAGCACUGAAAGUACUACAUUAUCGCUGUGGCUCACGCCUAUAAUCCCAGCUUCUCAAGCUGUCCCUGUGGAAUCCUCAAUAUCGGUACAUUCAUCCCUAUCUAGCAUCCCCUUCCUCCCUCACCCAUCCUGCACCCUCAGAAUUCAUUCUCAGAUCACCUUCCCAGAUUUUUGCCAAUAUCAAUUAAAAAAAUUUUUUAGCCAACCAUGUACUGUGAGUAAGCCAAUAUCAAUUAGCAAAAUCUUUAGUUUCUUUUGGUGAUUCAGUAUCUUCCCCCUGGAGUUUUUUGAUGAUUCAGUACCCUCCUAGAUUUGGCCCCUGGGGCCUGCGGGGAUGUGACUUGUCAUUUAAUUCUGGAGAAAAUGAGGGGUAGGGCUUAUAAGGAGACUCCUUCGGGGCAGGGUCAUUACAGGGUGUGUUACAUAGGGAAAUGCUAGCUGCUGGCUAGCUCUCGCUCUUGAAAGGCUCUUCCUCCCUCAACUGAAAUGGGGAAGGGGGAACCCCGGCCGACUGAGGUCCUGACAUCUUUAGCACAUGGCUUCUUAGGUCACCCAGGGCAUCCAGGUUACCAGCUUGGGAAACAGGAGAUGUAGGUUGGAGGAAGAGGCUACAGCCCACCCUGGAAAUAACUGCCAUCCGUCCCACCCAUAUGGUUAGGCUUUGUGUCCCCACCCAGAUCUCAUCUCGAAUUACAAUCCCCACGGGUUGAGGGAUGGACCAGGUGGAGGUACUUGCAUCAUGGGGGCAGUUUCCCCCAUGCUGUGCUCGUGACAGUGAGUGAGUUCUCACGAGAUCUGAUGGUUUUAAAGCGUGGCAGUUCCUCUUUCUCGUGCUUACAUCCUCGUAACUAUCCUGUGGAGAAGGUGUCUGCUUUCCCCUACCUCCAUGGUUGUAAGUUUCCUGAAGCCUCCCCAGCCGUGUGGAACUGUGAGUCAAUUAAACUUCUUUAUAAGUUACCCAGUCUCGGUGUUUGCUUUUUUGAGAUGGAGAUUUGCUCUUGUUGCCCAGGUUGGAGUGCAAUGGCGUGAUCUCGGCUCUUUGCAACCUCUGCCUCUCGGGUUGAAGCUAUUCUCCUGCCUCAGCCUCCCAAGUAGCUGGGAUUACAGGCGUG